RNAcentral lists this ribosomal RNA (915 nucleotides) under uncultured bacterium. Its description in RNAcentral is "bacterial SSU rRNA". It matches the Rfam family "Bacterial small subunit ribosomal RNA", at positions 1 to 906 of the family's 1533-position model. RNAcentral also lists the same sequence under 1 other name. The record is from RNAcentral.
UGGAUCCAGACUUUGAUUAUGGCUCAGGGUGAACGCUAGCUACAGGCUUAACACAUGCAAGUCGAGGGGAAACGAUAGAGAAAGCUUGCUUUCUCUAGGCGUCGACCGGCGCACGGGUGAGUAACGCGUAUCCAACCUGCCCAUCACUUGGGGAUAACCUUGCGAAAGUAAGACUAAUACCCAAUGACGUCCAUAGAAGACAUCUGAAAUGGAUUAAAGAUUUAUCGGUGAUGGAUGGGGAUGCGUCUGAUUAGCUUGUUGGCGGGGUAACGGCCCACCAAGGCGACGAUCAGUAGGGGUUCUGAGAGGAAGGCCCCCCACAUUGGAACUGAGACACGGUGCAAACUCCUACGGGAGGCAGCUGUGAGGAAUAUUGGUCAAUGGGCGAGAGCCUGAACCAGCCAAGUAGCGUGCAGGAUGACGGCCCUAUGGGUUGUAAACUGCUUUUAUAAGGGAAUAAAGUGAGUCUCGUGAGACUUUUUGCAUGUACCUUAUGAAUAAGGACCGGCUAAUUCCGUGCCAGCGGCCGCGGUAAUACGGAAGGUCCGGGCGUUAUCCGGAUUUAUUGGGUUUAAAGGGAGCGUAGGCCGGAGAUUAAGCGUGUUGUGAAAUGUAGAUGCUCAACGUCUGCACUGCAGCGCGAACUGGUUUCCUUGAGUACGCACAAAGUGGGCGGAAUUCGUGGUGUAGCGGUGAAAUGCUUAGAUAUCACGAAGAACUCCGAUUGCGAAGGCAGCUCACUGGAGCGCAACUGACGCUGAAGCUCGAAAGUGCGGGUAUCGAACAGGAUUAGAUACCCUGGUAGUCCGCACGGUAAACGAUGGAUGCCCGCUGUUGGUCUGAAUAGGUCAGCGGCCAAGCGAAAGCAUUAAGCAUCCCACCUGGGGAGUACGCCGGCAACGGUGCAACUCAAAU